GGCUCCAUAGUGUAGUGGUUAACACAUCUGUUUUACAAGCGGAAAGUCCUGGGUUCACAUUCCAGAUAGAGCCA
This 74-nucleotide transfer RNA is filed under the name Pteropus alecto (black flying fox). It matches the Rfam family "tRNA". From Rfam's summary of the family: Transfer RNA (tRNA) molecules are approximately 80 nucleotides in length. Their secondary structure includes four short double-helical elements and three loops (D, anti-codon, and T loops). Further hydrogen bonds mediate the characteristic L-shaped molecular structure. tRNAs have two regions of fundamental functional importance: the anti-codon, which is responsible for specific mRNA codon recognition, and the 3' end, to which the tRNAs corresponding amino acid is attached (by aminoacyl-tRNA synthetases). tRNAs cope with the degeneracy of the genetic code in two manners: having more than one tRNA (with a specific anti-codon) for a particular amino acid; and 'wobble' base-pairing, i.e. permitting non-standard base-pairing at the 3rd anti-codon position. Lineage: Eukaryota; Metazoa; Chordata; Mammalia; Chiroptera; Pteropodidae. The record is from Rfam by way of RNAcentral.